Molecule: long non-coding RNA, 1248 nt
Filed under: Homo sapiens (human)
Lineage: Eukaryota; Metazoa; Chordata; Mammalia; Primates; Hominidae
Description: HSALNT0357558
Source: RNAcentral
GCAGCCUCUGAUGAGGAGCAAGAAUGCCCCCUCUCAUCCAGCCUUGUCAGGGCCAAGUGAAAGAAGCCCGGGCAGGCCUGGGGAAGCUGCCCAAGGAGCCUCAGUAGUCAAUGCUGGCAUCGUUUCUCUCUCAGCCCCGUCUCUGUCACUUUGAAGCUUUCUACUGGUUUCCUUUGAGUCCCCUCAGCUCCCCAGUCAGAUCAAGGAAGAGCUGGUUGUUGCUUUCACAGACUUCAGGGGCAAGCAGAUCUGAGUACCUCGGGGGUCAAACAGACCUGCCCCAACCACAGCGUUGAAGAGGAGAUCCAUUUCCUAAAAAUGGGGGGAGACGGCUAUUGGUGGGAUACUCUAUUCACAUCUGUCUCCACUGCAUGUCUACAGAACGGCUCCCUGUAGUCUGGGAGUAGCGUUCCCUGGCUUCUCUGAGCUUCCUGCGGUCCACGAAAGGCUGUUUCCCUUGACAGAAGCCUUUCCUCUUCUUCCAUAUCUGGUUGACUGCAUGUCCUUUGGAGCCAGCCCUCUGGACUGAGGACUUGAAUCUCUGAUUAAUCCGCCCAGUACUCAGCUCCAUGGCCUCAGUGGUGUCCACGAGACUCUUGACACGGGACCUAUUCACAAGGGAAGGCACCUCCCCACAGAUGCACCUGAAAGCCGUGGACCCUGUGAUUCUCAGGAAUUCGGCUGACUGAUGGAGCAAUCCUUCCCACACGGGUGAAGGUGGAGGACUCCCCUUGACCCAGACACACGGGUAUUCCGUGAGUUUCUUGACGGUGCCAGUUCCUCUGAAGUAUGGAUUUUACUCCUUGGUGUUGUCUGAUUAGAUAAACUCUCCAAGAUAAAGAUCCGGAUAUAUUGGCAAGGGACCUGGCUUUUAGAAAACAUAUUCCUCAGAUUUAAAGUUGUAGGCCCUCUUUUCUCUCCAGAAACUCAGUCAUUUGCCCUGCAGAAUUUUCUACACUGUGGAUUUGCCUGACUACACCCUGUGGUGCUGUUCCUCUAUCUUGUUCUGGCAAGGAAGAGCCAAGCACCGCAUGACUCUUGUAGAAGAUGGACUUUGCAGACUGCAAAAGGGGAAAGGAAAGGGGCGUGUGAUGUUUGUAGGUGCCUUGGUAGAAAGUCCCUCUUUGCCUAGAAAUUAUUUAGGCAUCCUUUUAUAAUGCUUCUGGAAGAACAGAAAGAAAAAUCUAUUUCCUGAAUGAGAUAAGGAUGCUUUUCAUUGAGUGUCAGUAUUGAACCAGCCCCAACUGA